GGGGGGCCGCAGUGAAAUGGCCCAACCGACUGUUUAGCAAAAACACAGCAUUGUGCUAAGGCGUAAGCCGACGUAUACGAUGUGACACGUGACCAAUGCCAAAAGAUUACGGUAAGAUGUUAGCACUUUAGUGCGAAGCUUCGAGCCCAAGUCCUGGUGAAUGUCGGCCGUAACUAUAACGGUCCUAAGGUAGCGAAAUUCCUUGUCGGGUAAGUUCCGACCUGCACGAAUCGUGCAACGAGUUGGGCGCUGUCUCGACCAGGUGCUCAGUGAAAUUGUAGUUCCGGUGAAGAUGCCGGACACCCGCAGAAGGACGGAAAGACCCUAUAGACCUUAACUGUAAGCUGUUAUUGGUUGUUCGAUCUUAAUGCUCAGCAUAAGUGGGAGACAUUGAAGGGUGCGUUUAGGCGCAUCUGGAGUCAUCAGUGAGAUACCACCCUUUAAUAUUGGAUAAUCUAACCCCGAGCCGUCAUCCGGCCGUGGGGACAAUGGCAGCCGGUCAGUUUUACUGGGGCGGUAUCCUCCUAAAGAGUAACGGAGGAGCGCGAAGGUGGGCUCAGCACAGUUGGCAACUGUGUGUUGAGUGUAAAGGCACAAGCCCGCCUAACUGUGAGACCUACAAGUCGAGCAGAUACGAAAGUAGGCCUUAGUGAUCCGGCGGUAGAAUGUGGAAUUGCCGUCGCUCAACGGAUAAAAGGUACCUUAGGGAUAACAGGCUUAUCACGCCCAAGAGUUCAUAUCGACGGCGUGGUUUGGCACCUCGAUGUCGGCUCGUCGCAUCCUGGGGCUGGAGAAGGUCCCAAGGGUCCGGCUGUUCGCCGGUUAAAGCGGCACGCGAGCUGGGUUCAGAACGUCGCGAGACAGUUCGGUCCUCUAUCCUCUGUGGGCGUAGGAAAAUUGAAGGGUUCAGACCUUAGUACGAGAGGACCGGGUUUGACGCACCUCUGGUGUUCCAGUUGUUCUGUCAAGGGCACUGCUGGGUAGCUAAGUGCGGAACGGAUAAGCGCUGAAAGCAUCUAAGCGCCAAGCCAUUCCUGAGAUAAAUUUUCCCUGAAGGAUCGUGGAAGACGACCACGUUGAUAGGCUGGGGGAGAAGUGCAGCAAUGUAUGUAGCUCACCAGUACUAAUCAUCCGUUCGACUUAAUUCC
Molecule: ribosomal RNA, 1148 nt
Filed under: Verrucomicrobia bacterium SCGC AAA164-O14
Lineage: Bacteria; Pseudomonadati; Verrucomicrobiota
Description: bacterial LSU rRNA
Rfam family: Bacterial large subunit ribosomal RNA
Source: RNAcentral